This 497-nucleotide ribosomal RNA is filed under the name uncultured bacterium. RNAcentral describes it as "partial 16S ribosomal RNA". It matches the Rfam family "Bacterial small subunit ribosomal RNA", at positions 28 to 507 of the family's 1533-position model. The record is from RNAcentral.
GAUGAACGCUGGCGGCGUGCCUAAUACAUGCAAGUCGAGCGAACAGACGAGGAGCUUGCUCCUCUGACGUUAGCGGCGGACGGGUGAGUAACACGUGGAUAACCUACCUAUAAGACUGGGAUAACUUCGGGAAACCGGAGCUAAUACCGGAUAAUAUAUUGAACCGCAUGGUUCAAUAGUGAAAGACGGUUUUGCUGUCACUUAUAGAUGGAUCCGCGCCGCAUUAGCUAGUUGGUAAGGUAACGGCUUACCAAGGCAACGAUGCGUAGCCGACCUGAGAGGAGGAGCGGCCACACUGGAACUGAGAACCGGUCCAGACUCCAACGGGAGGAAGAAGUGGGGAAUCUUCCGCAAGGGGCGAAAGCCUGACGGAGCAACGCCGCGUGAGUGAUGAAGGUCUUCGGAUCGUAAAACUCUGUUAUUAGGAAAGAAAAAAUGUGUAAGUAACUAUGCACGUCUUGACGGUACCUAAUCAGAAAGCCACGGCUAACUACGUG